Molecule: non-coding RNA, 71 nt
Filed under: Salinicola sp. JS01
Lineage: Bacteria; Pseudomonadati; Pseudomonadota; Gammaproteobacteria; Oceanospirillales; Halomonadaceae
Source: RNAcentral
AAGCGAAACGUCCUGGCGUGAGCCGGGGCGUCUGUCGGGCGUGGUGGCCCGGCACUGAUGAGCAGCCAAAC